Non-coding RNA from Zonotrichia albicollis (white-throated sparrow), 2581 nucleotides. The record is from RefSeq and is a predicted model, not a curated record. NCBI's taxonomy places the organism in Eukaryota, Metazoa, Chordata, Aves, Passeriformes, Passerellidae.
CAAGAGCAAGAGUACAGUUCCAGCUCCUGUACACAGAAACUGGAACUGUAUUAUUGCUCCAGGUAAAAGCCCUUACGCACAACCUUCAGUCUGCUGCCCACCUAAGCAGGUUGGCAGGCAUUGCUGUCAAGAAAUGGCCAUUUGUGUGUUGCACAGUAGGAAAUGGGUGUUGCUACUGUCUGACUUCUGAUCUGACAAUUUAUACAAUGAUAACAUUCUCACAAUGGCCUUCUCAUUUUUUAGAUUUUCUGGAUCCACUAGUGGGGUAGAGUUUCUGUUUCAUAGUUCUGUUUCCAUUGUGUUCGCAGAAACUUGUUCUAGUUUUAAUUUCUCUUCCCACACACCCCACAAUUGUGAUCAGAAUAAAAUCAGUGAAUAAUGAACAAUUAAUUUUUCUUAUAUUCUAAAUCUAAUUUUUAAAGAGGCAUGGUAGAUAAUUCACAUUUUGUGAUGUUAAACCAAAAAGAAUAUUUUGAUUUUUGACUAUUAUAUUUUUUCCUUAAUUUUUGGUUGUUAAUUUCUUGGAUUAAGAACUAAUGUUAAUGCUUAUAUCCCAGUCAUACAACUAAAGCAGCAUUUAUUAAAACUGAAUACUUAGUUCUUUUUGGAAAUUAUUUUAAUGAGUUUUAUUAUAAGGAAGAUUUGGUAGUUUGGGAGACUUAGAUGUGACAAUAUAUAUUAUAAAAUUACUCUAACAUAAGGAUUAAAAUUUGGAUACCAUUCCUACCUUGUAAUAGCCUGUUCUUUCAUCUGUCUAGACCAAGAACUGCUGAAGCUAUUUAACAUCUUAAUUUGUUCCAGCCAGACAACUAUGGCUUCAGAUUUCACAGCGAGAGCAUAACUCAUGAACAGCGAAUCAAUAUUUCUAUGCUCUAUAUGGUUAAGUAAAAAUGGUUUUCAUAUCAGUAAGCAGAUCAAAGUAAUGCUUACAUCUGUAGUUUUGUAGCUACCAGCACUGCAAUUUUAAUUGGUAUUGGGAUCCACAGUGAAUGGCUCUUGGUCCUUCAUAUACACUUGCAUGCAUGAAGUUAACAGGUGUGUUUCUUGUUCACAGAAGGUAACUAAUGCAGAAAUAUCUCUGGUUUAGAGGUAAAUUUAUUCAAAAAUGAUAUGCAUUUUUGAAUAAAUGGUCGGGUUUGGGGGUUUUUUGUUUGGUUGGGUUUGUGGGAUUUUUGGGAUGUGGAUGUGUGUGUGUGCGUUCUGGUUUGGCUUUUAUAUUCCCCAGAUUUUGCAUAAAAUACGUGAGGGUAGCAAUCCAGCACCAUCACAGAAAAUAUCUGAGGAAAAUUGGUGGAUAAUUUUUCACUGUGCAGAAAAUAACCUUUUGAAUAUGUUACUUCUUGCUUGUAAUUUUAUAAAUACAGUGUUACCAGUGAAUAUUGCUAAUUCUAUCUUUCAUUUUUCUUCAGCAUAAUCUGGCAUAGUGCAGUUGCUAUUGUUUAUUUUAUAUUAAUUUAUUCUAUUUUUUUCUAAAAAUAAUGGAAAUGAAGAUUUACAUUCCCCUCUUCCCUAGAUUUGUUCUUUGAAUUUCUUAAUUGUUUCAUAUUCUGAAAUUCAAUGGGGAAUCACACAUUCUGUGCUUUUUUUGGGAAUUAAAUUCCCUAAUGCAAGGCUACAUUUUUUAUUUGUUGAGUAACUGCCUAUUCACUUAGGGAAAACAUAGCAAUAGAAUAAUAACACAAAGUUGUUAGAAGACAGUCCAUAUUCUGUAUUUGGACACUCAUAUUUCAUAUAAUAAAGCAUAAUUGUUUUCAUUUUAAUUUGCCCUAGGUUUAUACUGCACAUAUGGAGAGGGAAGAGUCCACGUUUCUGCAUCUAUAGCAAAUGCAUCUCUGACAUGUAAAUAAAGUCAUGCAUAUUCUCUUGGUUCCAACAAGUGGUUCCUCAAGAGGAACAUCAAAUAUCUCUGGAGUAAUGUUUUCAUAACUGCUCUUCCCAACAAGACAAUCCUUCUAUCUGCUUCAGCACUGUGAUGAAAGCCAUGUUAAGGUCUGAUAUCCCUGGAAGAACAGUGAACUAGAAACUGAAUGUGACCACAAACUAUUAAGAAAAACUCCAUUCAACCAAGAAAGUAUUUCAGCCAUGCAGUAGAGUAAUAGCUUCCAUGACUACUCUACAUUUAGGGGAGAAGAUGUUUGACAUGUUUAAAGAGGAGCUGUGAUCUCACACUGAUUGCCAGAUGGCAGCAGGAAGCCCAGAGCGCAUGUACUGACAAACAGCGGGGGAAAACCAGCUGCACAGAGUGAUUGCACACUGCCAGCAAAGAGGCACUGAGCUGGAGCCCAGAGAGAGCACUGAGAUACCUGCCAAGUCAGAAAACACAGGUGGGAGCAAGGGUCUGCACUUCUUUUCCAAAUGACACAAGAAAAAAUGGACAAGUUUUGACAUGUGCACAUAACCAGGACAAGUAGCUGUGAACUUGCUGUGCUCCUUAUUACUCUCUGUAAUAGAAAAUUUCCAAAUAGGCUAAUUAUGCAAGUUAUAUGAUUUUGUAUGCACAUGCAUAGGGCUACAUUUUCUGAUAGUUAAACGAGCCCCAGAGAGCAGCAGGGCUCAUUUGUGAAGCACUGAAUAAAACCCU